GAAGGGUCGCUAAAGCAAAACAACCAGCCUCUGAAAGUUCCUAAUUUUAUUGGAGGAAAAUUUGUCGAGUCACAAGGGUCUACUAUAAUUGAUGUGAUAAAUCCUGCAACACAAGAGGUUGUUUCUGAAGUUCCGUUAACCACCUAUGAAGAGUUCAAGGAUGCAGUUAUUGCAGCAAAGAAAGCUUUUCCUUCAUGGAAGAACACCCCAAUUGCCACUCGUCAAC
This 226-nucleotide unclassified non-coding RNA is filed under the name Hevea brasiliensis (rubber tree). Lineage: Eukaryota; Viridiplantae; Streptophyta; Magnoliopsida; Malpighiales; Euphorbiaceae. The record is from RNAcentral.